This 198-nucleotide small nuclear RNA is filed under the name Solanum tuberosum (potato). Its description in RNAcentral is "snRNA U2". It matches the Rfam family "U2 spliceosomal RNA". From Rfam's summary of the family: U2 is a small nuclear RNA (snRNA) component of the spliceosome (involved in pre-mRNA splicing). Lineage: Eukaryota; Viridiplantae; Streptophyta; Magnoliopsida; Solanales; Solanaceae. The record is from Rfam by way of RNAcentral.
AUACCUUUCUCUGCCUUUUGUGGCUAAGAUCAAGUGUAGUAUAUGUUCUUAUCAUUUUAAUAUCUGAUAUGUGGGUAAUUGACCCACACGAUAUUAAAUCUAUUUUCUGAAGGGGGAGGUUCACCACAGUAGCUUGCUAUCGAGACCUUCAAGUGUCGUCUUGGUGUUGCACUACUGCCUUGGCCUGGCACACCCCAC